RNAcentral lists this ribosomal RNA (494 nucleotides) under uncultured bacterium. Its description in RNAcentral is "partial 16S ribosomal RNA". It matches the Rfam family "Bacterial small subunit ribosomal RNA", at positions 28 to 523 of the family's 1533-position model. The record is from RNAcentral.
GAUGAACGCUGGCGGCGUGCCUAACACAUGCAAGUCGAACGGAGUAAUUAUUAUGAAGUUUUCGGAUGGAUUAAUAAUUACUUAGUGGCGGACGGGUGAGUAACGCGUGGGUAACCUGCCUCAUACAGGGGGAUAACAGCUGGAAACGGCUGCUAAAACCGCAUAACAUUGCGACGUCGCAUGGCGAUGCAAUUAAAUAUUUAUAGGUAUGAGAUGGGCCCGCGUCUGAUUAGCUAGUUGGUGAGGUAAUGGCUCACCAAGGCGACGAUCAGUAGCCGGCUUGAGAGAGUGACCGGCCACAUUGGGACUGAGACACGGCCCAAACUCCUACGGGAGGCAGCAGUGGGGAAUAUUGCACAAUGGGGGAAACCCUGAUGCAGCGACGCCGCGUGAGUGAAGAAGUAUUUCGGUAUGUAAAGCUCUAUCAGCAGGGAAGAAAAUGACGGUACCUGACUAAGAAGCCCCGGCUAACUACGUGCCAGCCGCCGCCGUAA